UACGUAGGGUGCGAGCGUUAAUCGGAAUUACUGGGCGUAAAGCGUGCGCAGGCGGUUCGCCGUGUCCGAUGUGAAAGCCCCGGGCUUAACCUGGGAAUGGCAUUGGAAACUGGCGGGCUUGAGUGUGGCAGAGGGGGGUGGAAUUCCACGUGUAGAGGUGAAAUUCGUAGAUAUUAGGAAGAACACCAGUGGCGAAGGCGGCUCACUGGCCCGGUACUGACGCUGAGGCGCGAAAGCGUGGGGAGCAAACAGG
Molecule: ribosomal RNA, 253 nt
Filed under: uncultured bacterium
Lineage: Bacteria
Description: partial 16S ribosomal RNA
Rfam family: Bacterial small subunit ribosomal RNA
Source: RNAcentral